UUAGCGCAGCGGUGAAUUUAACAACACUCAACUGCAGGUAAAACGGCAUUCAGAGGUGAGUUUGACCAAAGCAACCCUCAACUGCAGGCAAAACGACAUUAAAAGGUCCCUCAAAUUUGGCAGCUUCAAAGCACCACAGACACACACAAAGGCACUUUUAAAAGCCACGCCCAUCUUGUUACUCUGUACUCAUCAGUCAGUCUCUCUCUCUCUCUCUCUCUCUCUCUCUCUCUUUAAAAUAUUUUCAAAACUCCGACAAGAAUUGAUGUCAUGGCAACGCGUAGUAAUGCAGUUGUGGAAACACGUGCAUUUCCCCCUUGACGUACGUGUAGCAAAUAGCAUUGAAUUUUAGGCUACCUACUUGCAUUUUCAUUCAACAGCUUGGAUGUAAACCCAAAACUGUAUUAGACAAUAUGGAGAAAAACUGUUAAUUCCCUGUUUGUAAAGUGAUAAUAAAGAAUAUGUUUCAUUUCAUGUUAGAUGUGAGAUUUUGAAUAGGCUAUUCUUUUAGAUCUAUUAAUGGGACCUAUAUGCAACGUUUGAUUACGUUCUGCAACUUUAGUAUAUAAGUGCAUCCAAAUAUAUAAUGUAUUGGUUUAGCCUAAAAAUAUGAUUAGGCCUAUUAUUCAUCAUGGGACGACAUGACUACAGUCAAACCUGUAUAUUUCAUGAUACAAUUUAUGACAUUUUUCAUACAUUUUUGAUCAGCUAAAAUACAGUAUUUAGGACGUGAAUUUGCGGAGCACACAUGCAUCCCUGAUCCAACCUUUACUGUCAUUGGAUCCAACUAACGUGUGUGUCAAUGAGUUAUUAUUGUGUGCGCACUUACUCUUCUUCGUUUGUUGAUUACAAUAGUCCAGACAGCCCUCCGACAAACAGCGCCCCGUGCUGUGUCUGCAACCACUGCGCACUUUUGUCACUACUAGAAUGUUGUGCAGAUACAGAUUGUCCGAAAUAAAUACAUGACUAAAGUAAACCCAUUUAAAAACUGUAUUAUAUUACUCAAAAUCUAGACUGCAAUUUAAAGAAAUAGAGAAACAUUAUGUAAUGUGUUUGACCAAUUACAUCAUUGAAAAACCCAGGUGAUUUGAUUCUACAAAUAAAUUAAAAAGUACACAUAAUAAUGCUUCCAAAUCUGACCUUUUGUUAGACAUUUAGAUUUGACUUAAGUCAAACAUUGUCCAAUAGAGCAUAAUACAGUAUACAGGCCUUUGUUCUUUUGAUACUUAUAUUAUGACCUCAACACUUAUGCACAAAGAUAUAUUUAUUAAUGGCUAUACAGAGUAAAUGUCCAGUAAAAUGAACCAUAUUACGCUCAUUAAAAAAUGGAAAAUGAACAAAUGAAUGAUAUUCUUUUUUAUUUGCACUGAUUAAAAUUACAAUGACAAACUCCAAACUGGUGCUAACUCCAACAUCUCAAAGGCAGGACAAAGGCUCCCAACUGUUCUUCCAUUUGGUCCCACUGUUUCAAAAGAGAGUAAGAAAUCAUAUGAGAAAAUGCAGCAACUGUUUUAAUCUUGUCUUAUUCACUAUCCUAUUUCCUAUCCACUGCAUAUUCAAUGCAAUUUUCACAGCUGAUAUAAACUAUUUCAGUGCUGCUAAAUCUGCACAGUGCCAUCUGUGUAUAAAAGCCAUAAAAUCCAAUAGCACUGUGUAUACAAUUUUGAAUUCAGUGCAUUCUUACCACAGUAAUUUGUACAUAUUCAUAUUUCUUUAGCAUUAUAUAGAUGUAUUCUGCUACUUUUGUUUUAUUAUUCUACUACAAAGAUUUGUAUCAACCGAGAAAGAAAACAUAACCAAGUAUUGCACUAUAAAAGUACAACCAGAUUCUGAAAAAGUUGACAGUAUUGAAAAUGCAAAAAAAAAAAAAAUUCUGUUCACUCUGUACUAUACUGAAAACACAUUAUUAACAAAUAACGUCUUUGAGUAUUUCAUUUAUUUUAGAAAAUAUACACUAAAUUUAAAUCUGAUGACUGCAACACAGUCAAAAUAUUUGCGACUGUUUACCACUGUUUUAUGUAACAUCACCUUUUUUUUUUAAAUAACAUUUAAUAAGCUUUUGGGAAGUAAAGAUGCCAGUUGGUUCAGUUUAGCAAGAACACUUUUGCCCAUUCUAUUAUACAUGUCCUCUGGUGAGUUUUUAAUCCAAGCAGACUGUGGUUUGUCAUUGUCCUGCUGGAAAAUGCAAGGACUAGUGUGCUAGCAAAAUUACUGUGAAACCAAAAAAUUUAUGUAUAACACAAAUGUUAGUCCGGACUUUUAGGUGUGAAACUGCCCUGAGACGUUUUCACUACUCCAGAGCCCAGCGGGAGUGUGCUUCACUAUCUUAUGCCAAAGUUUGCAACCAAUUAUAUUUUUACUAAUACUGUGAGACCGUAAUACCGUGAUCUUUUUUCUAAAAGUUAUCAUACUGUGAACAUCUCAAACCGUUACACCCCUACUUCUUUUUAUUUAACCAGGUGAGCUUUUAAAGAGCACAUUCUCAAUAGAAAUGGCGACCUGGCCAAGAUAAAGCAAAAGGUGCAGGAUGACAAAGAAGUUACACAUGAAAUUACACAAAAUUACACAU
Molecule: long non-coding RNA, 2569 nt
Organism: Megalobrama amblycephala (Wuchang bream)
Lineage: Eukaryota; Metazoa; Chordata; Actinopteri; Cypriniformes; Xenocyprididae
Exons: 2
Source: RefSeq, a predicted model, not a curated record